GACGAACGCUGGCGGCGUGCCUAAUACAUGCAAGUAGAACGCUGAAGGAGGAGCUUGCUUCUCUGGAUGAGUUGCGAACGGGUGAGUAACGCGUAGGUAACCUGCCUGGUAGCGGGGGAUAACUAUUGGAAACGAUAGCUAAUACCGCAUAAUAGCAGUUAUUGCAUGAUAACUGUUUGAAAGGUGCAAUUGCACCACUACCAGAUGGACCUGCGUUGUAUUAGCUUGUUGGUGGGGUAACGGCUCACCAAGGCGACGAUACAUAGCCGACCUGGGAGGGGGGUCGGCCACACUGGGACUGGGACACGGCCCAGGCUCCUACGGGGGGCAGCAGUAGGGGAUCUUCGGCAAUGGGCGGAAGUCUGACCGAGGCACGCCGCGGGAGUGGAGGAAGUUUUCGGGUCGGAAAGCUCUGUUGUAAGGGAAGAACGAGUGUGAGAGUGGAAAGUUCACACUGUGACGGUAUCUUACCAGAAAGGGACGGCUAACUACGUG
This 495-nucleotide ribosomal RNA is filed under the name uncultured bacterium. Its description in RNAcentral is "partial 16S ribosomal RNA". It matches the Rfam family "Bacterial small subunit ribosomal RNA", at positions 28 to 507 of the family's 1533-position model. The record is from RNAcentral.